GAAAACAGUUCAGAAGAUCCUUGUCUGAAUGUCAAACAUGAAACAGGUCCCUUAUGACCAGGGAAUGCCUUAAUAUGCUGCCGUGUUCGGAUGUCCCACAAAUGAACGUGACGAUCUAAGCCUCCACUUGCCAAAUAGCGUCCAUCAGAGCUGACAGCCAAAGCUAAAACAUUCUUACUAUGUUUUGUUGCUCGACCUUGUGGGUCCUUUGCACCAUGUGACUUCAGAGCUUCA
This 234-nucleotide unclassified non-coding RNA is filed under the name Hevea brasiliensis (rubber tree). Lineage: Eukaryota; Viridiplantae; Streptophyta; Magnoliopsida; Malpighiales; Euphorbiaceae. The record is from RNAcentral.